Molecule: transfer RNA, 77 nt
Filed under: Vibrio cyclitrophicus ZF270
Lineage: Bacteria; Pseudomonadati; Pseudomonadota; Gammaproteobacteria; Vibrionales; Vibrionaceae
Description: tRNA-Arg
Rfam family: tRNA
About the family: Transfer RNA (tRNA) molecules are approximately 80 nucleotides in length. Their secondary structure includes four short double-helical elements and three loops (D, anti-codon, and T loops).
Source: RNAcentral
GCGCCCUUAGCUCAGCUGGAUAGAGUACCUCCCUUCUAAGGAGGUGGUCGAAGGUUCGAAUCCUUCAGGGCGUGCCA